GUACCGAUGAAGAGUCCCAAACUAGGAUGAAACAGCUGUCCAGUAC
Non-coding RNA from Trichobilharzia regenti, 46 nucleotides. NCBI's taxonomy places the organism in Eukaryota, Metazoa, Platyhelminthes, Trematoda, Strigeidida, Schistosomatidae. The record is from Rfam.